UACGGGGGGAGCAAGCGUUGUUCGGAUUUACUGGGCGUAAAGGGCGCGUAGGCGGUCAGCACAAGUCAGUUGUGAAAUCUCCGGGCUUAACUCGGAAAGGUCAACUGAUACUGUGCGACUAGAGUGCAGAAGGGGCAACUGGAAUUCUCGGUGUAGCGGUGAAAUGCGUAGAUAUCGGGAAGAACACCGAUGGCGAAGGCAGCCAUCUGGACCGACACUGACGCUGAGGCGCGAAAGCUAGGGGAGCAAACAGG
This 254-nucleotide ribosomal RNA is filed under the name uncultured bacterium. RNAcentral's name for it is "partial 16S ribosomal RNA". It matches the Rfam family "Bacterial small subunit ribosomal RNA", at positions 524 to 776 of the family's 1533-position model. The record is from RNAcentral.